Molecule: unclassified non-coding RNA, 317 nt
Filed under: Hevea brasiliensis (rubber tree)
Lineage: Eukaryota; Viridiplantae; Streptophyta; Magnoliopsida; Malpighiales; Euphorbiaceae
Source: RNAcentral
UUUGAGGUGUUUGGUUGCUUUAUGCUUGUAUUCAAGUAGAAGUUCUCAACUUCAUUCACUCUUUGUUCAAGCUUAUCAAUGUUCAUGACUAGCUCAUCAACGGUGCAUCUAAAACCAUCCAUUUCCCCACCAUUAACUCGUGGUCCCACAUUUUCUAAGUCCAAAUUGGAUGCAUCCGCACAUUCCAUCGUUAAUCGACUGGAUGGAGGAGAUUACGGCGCCGGCGGCACUACAAUACUCGUUGCUUUCUGUCAAACAAAUAUUAUUCUCUUCACCUUCUACUUUGACACCUUUCAAAAUCCCAAUUUUCAUAUGGG